RNAcentral lists this transfer RNA (63 nucleotides) under Rattus norvegicus (Norway rat). It matches the Rfam family "tRNA". Rfam says of the family: Transfer RNA (tRNA) molecules are approximately 80 nucleotides in length. Their secondary structure includes four short double-helical elements and three loops (D, anti-codon, and T loops). Lineage: Eukaryota; Metazoa; Chordata; Mammalia; Rodentia; Muridae. The record is from Rfam by way of RNAcentral.
GGGGAUUUAGCUCAGUGGUAGAGCACUUGCCUAGUAAGCGCAAGGCCCUGGGUUCAGUCCUCA